RNAcentral lists this transfer RNA (73 nucleotides) under Pseudomonadota bacterium. Its description in RNAcentral is "Proteobacteria bacterium (activated sludge metagenome) tRNA-Gln". It matches the Rfam family "tRNA". From Rfam's summary of the family: Transfer RNA (tRNA) molecules are approximately 80 nucleotides in length. Lineage: Bacteria; Pseudomonadati; Pseudomonadota. The record is from RNAcentral.
GCUCAGAUCGUCUAGUUGGUUAUGACGCCAGGCUUUGAACCUGGAGGCCGGGGUUCGAAUCCCUGUUUGAGCU